UACAGAGGGGGCUAGCGUUAUUCGGAAUUAUUGGGCGUAAAGGGCGCGUAGGCGGCCAUGCGUGUCUUCCGUGAAAUCCCUCGGCUUAACUGAGGACGUGCGGAAGAAACUGCAAGGCUCGAGUCCGGGAGAGGGGGGUGGAAUUCCCAGUGUAGCGGUGAAAUGCGUAGAUAUUGGGAGGAACACCGGUGGCGAAGGCGGCCCCCUGGACCGGUACUGACGCUGAGGCGCGAAAGCGUGGGGAGCGAACAGG
This 253-nucleotide ribosomal RNA is filed under the name uncultured bacterium. RNAcentral's name for it is "partial 16S ribosomal RNA". It matches the Rfam family "Bacterial small subunit ribosomal RNA", at positions 524 to 776 of the family's 1533-position model. The record is from RNAcentral.